Molecule: ribosomal RNA, 253 nt
Filed under: uncultured bacterium
Lineage: Bacteria
Description: partial 16S ribosomal RNA
Rfam family: Bacterial small subunit ribosomal RNA
Source: RNAcentral
UACAGAGGGGGCAAGCGUUGUUCGGAAUUACUGGGCGUAAAGGGCGCGUAGGCGGCCUUCUAAGUCGAACGUGAAAUCCCCGGGCUCAACCCGGGAACUGCGUCCGAUACUGGAAGGCUUGAAUCCGGGAGAGGGAUGUGGAAUUCCAGGUGUAGCGGUGAAAUGCGUAGAGAUCGGGAGGAACACCAGAGGCGAAAGCGGCAUCCUGGGCCAAGCCUGACGCUGAGGCGCGAAAGCGUGGGGAGCGAACCGG